GACGUAGGGCGCAAGCGUUGUCCGGAAUUAUUGGGCGUAAAGAGCUCGUAGGCGGUUUGUCGCGUCGGGAGUGAAAUCCACUGGCUUAACUGGUGGCUUGCUUUCGAUACGGGCAGACUGGAGGUAUGCAGGGGAGAACGGAAUUCCUGGUGUAGCGGUGAAAUGCGCAGAUAUCAGGAGGAACACCGGUGGCGAAGGCGGUUCUCUGGGCAUGUCCUGACGCUGAGGAGCGAAAGUGUGGGGAGCGAACAGG
This 253-nucleotide ribosomal RNA is filed under the name uncultured bacterium. RNAcentral's name for it is "partial 16S ribosomal RNA". It matches the Rfam family "Bacterial small subunit ribosomal RNA", at positions 524 to 776 of the family's 1533-position model. The record is from RNAcentral.